AAUAAGUUAGAUUUCUCGAACAGAACAUAAUAGUUAUAUUUAAUGCUGAGAAAGUAAGAAGAGAGCUAAGGCAGCGACAAGCGGAGGAAGUUUGGGGUGCCUGCCCUCGUCCUCGCAAUGAGAAGCCUACACCUGACAAAGCGAAUUCAGAAGCUAGCAUAGAUUGAACUACCACCCAUCAGACAUCAAAAUACAAUAAGCAUCGGAGAGCAGUGAGAGUCUCUGAUAAUAUUAAGAAGAGGUUAAUCUCCUGACUCUGGCCAUGUUACAUGAAAGUAAUUCGGAAUGAUUUUGAAGAUGUCUUGGUCGGAGGGUAGAAGGCGCAAUCAACAACUUUCUUCAAGAGGUAUGAAAUGUUUGUUUAAAGUUAUAUAUAAUAUAAAAUGUACAAACAAAACAUUUCAAAGAACUGCUUAACAGUUCUAUAUGAAAUGUUUAUUAUAAUUGUUGGCUGAUGGUUAAUUAUAUUUCAGCAUUUUAUGUUUUCUCAGUUUAAUUUAGUAUAACUUUAUGAAUAUUUUGAUUAUUUAGACUUAGGAACUGUUACUUUAGAUUCUUAAUUGCUGAAAAUUUACCAACUAAUAUAAACCUAAUAAAGUAUUAAAUCCAACUUCCAAAAAGUUUUGAAGAAUUCUUUGUUCAAAAUUAUCUGUCACUAAUGUUUCUUCAAUAGAAAAUGUAUUUUUAACCGUUUAGGAUAUCUACUAAUUUAUUUAAUCAAUUUUAAUUUAAAAGCAGUCUUAUCUGAAAGAUUGAAACUAAUAAAAUAUAGAUAUAUUUAUUUGCCUUUAUUUGAUUAUUUAAUGACAAAUCUUAUCUAAUAAAAUUAGCAAACUAAAUUUAAAUUAACACAUGUUUCAUAAUGGUAAUGAUUUUCUUUGAUCAGCAACAGCCACCAGAUUAAUGACUUUUGAAGAUUUAUUUUUCUUCUUUGGUAAAUCAUAUCUUUUAUAAGAUAGGUUUGGUGAAUCAUAUCUUAUAUAAGACAAGUUUGGUUUAAACUUAAAGAUAAUCUUACUUAGGUUUGGUUUAAUAAUAUAUUUUAAAGAGAAAAUGGUCAAACAAAAAAUGAAUUUACACAUUUUCGCCAAAAACAUGAUUGUUCGUUAAUCCAAAACAUACAAAUUUGUGCUGACCGAGCCAAUAGAUAUAAUUUUAAUUUAAUUUAACUGAAUUUUUUUAAUAGAAAUCUAAACGGCGUGUUUUACUAAAAAAACUAACAAAAUUCACGUAAAAAUAUUAAACUUAAUUACACUUUUUUGCUAGAACCAUGAAUACUUAUUUGAUCCAAAAAACUAUAAACGUUUGACUGAGACAAAUUUGAUACAAACCAAUAAGCCAAAAUCCAAACAGAACAAAAAAAAAAGAGAAUUCAUAUUUGAUCCAAGAUGUAACGAAUGAAUCUUGUAAGAUGGUAUAAAACAUUUCCAAAUAAUGUUAUCAACAUAAGCUGAAAGGGCAAACCAAGAAAUCUUAAAAUCAAAAAUCCAAUAAAAUUCAAAUCUUAAUAUUCAAUCUGAAUUAGUAUUUAAAAUAAGUAUUUAAAACGUAAAUAAAUAAUUCAAAUUUUCAUGUUUAUUUUGAUAUGAUAUCUACAGUGUAUCUAAAACUUAAAUCAAUACAUAUAUAUAUAUAUAUAUACUAAUUUUAUGUUUAUUUGAUAUGAUAUCUAAAAAUAUCCAAAAUCCGAUCCUAAAUGGGUUUUGAUAUGAAUUACAAAUUAUAUUCGAGCUGAAGUGUUAACCGAACCCGACAUAUACUAUAAUACUCAGAUGAGCCUAAGAGGCUGAACCCAAAAACUCGGAAACUUCCACUCCCAAAACCCCAACUUCUUAAGUUCAAAUCCAAAAUCUAGAGUUAUUUAACCCUACGAAUAUAUAAAUAAAUAUAUUUACUUUUCGAUAAAAAAAAAUUUUGGAGGUUUUUUUUGUAAAAAUAAACUAAAAAAAUAUCUUAGGGAAUCCCUCUAUUUCAAACUUGUAAAUUGUAAUAUGUUUUUUUUGUUUAGAUAGAUUCCGUUUAAUUGUGGAAGCCCCUUUGGUCCAGUGGUUUGACCAAGGGUUCAUUAAUGCUUCUACACUAUGAGAUCUGAGUUUCAAUUCUCGGAAAAGGCGGAAUUAUGCGAAUUAAAAGAGAAAAAUCUUACAAGAUAUCUACAACAUGACGCAAAGAAUACUGUCAAGCGUGAAUCCGAUAGAGCGGCUCAGGUGAUAUAGUCAGGCAUGAAUCCUCAUAUGGCAGGGAGAAUUGUCGACUGUAGAAUCAAUCGUCUGUAAUAUUUCUUACGGUUGUAAUAGCAUAAUUAUGUAGCGUUUAAAAAAAAAAUUGGUUUAAUUAAAAGGAAUAAUACAGAUAUUUGUUAAUUAAU
This 2368-nucleotide long non-coding RNA is filed under the name Brassica napus (rape). RNAcentral describes it as "long non-coding RNA (BNAP_LNC010773)". The record is from RNAcentral. Lineage: Eukaryota; Viridiplantae; Streptophyta; Magnoliopsida; Brassicales; Brassicaceae.